This is a non-coding RNA of Aedes albopictus (Asian tiger mosquito), 58 nucleotides long. The record is from Rfam. NCBI's taxonomy places the organism in Eukaryota, Metazoa, Arthropoda, Insecta, Diptera, Culicidae.
UAGCCUAGUAGUUAAGGCCAUGGAUCGCCAAUCCGAAGACGGCGGGUUCGAUUCCCGU